RNAcentral lists this ribosomal RNA (497 nucleotides) under uncultured bacterium. Its description in RNAcentral is "partial 16S ribosomal RNA". It matches the Rfam family "Bacterial small subunit ribosomal RNA", at positions 28 to 507 of the family's 1533-position model. The record is from RNAcentral.
GAUGAACGCUGGCGGCGUGCCUAAUACAUGCAAGUCGAGCGAACGGACGAGAAGCUUGCUUCUCUGAUGUUAGCGGCGGACGGGUGAGUAACACGUGGAUAACCUACCUAUAAGACUGGGAUAACUUCGGGAAACCGGAGCUAAUACCGGAUGAUAUUUUGAACCGCAUGGUUCAAAAGUGAAAGACGGUCUUGCUGUCACUUAUAGAUGGAUCCGCGCUGCAUUAGCUAGUUGGUAAGGUAACGGCUUACCAAGGCAACGAUGCAUAGCCGACCUGAGAGAGUGAUCGGCCACACUGGAACUGAGACACGGUCCAGACUCCUAGGGGAGGCAGCAGUAGGGAAUCUUCCGCAAUGGGCGAAAGCCUGACGGGGCAACGCCGCGUGAGUGAUGAAGGUGUUCGGAUCGUAAAGCUCUGUUAUUAGGGAAGAACAUAUGUGUAAGUAACUGUGCACAUCUUGACGGUACCUAAUCAGAAAGCCACGGCUAACUACGUG